GCCCAGUGAUGAUACCAAGGCGAAUGUGAGCUUACUGGAUGUGAGUCUGAGUUCUCCUGUGUUCAUGUUGGCUGGUAAUCUUGAGAGGGCAGCGGAGAUUUGCUGCUCUGUUGUAAGGGCCAGCCUACAUUAAUAAAGCUCCUUUACUCACACUCUUCUAUAAAGUAAUUCUGGGGAGAGAGUUAAGGGGCAGACAGUGUGUCUGAGUGUGUGUGUGAGUGAACUCUGGUAGAGUCUCAGCUCUGCUGUAUCCAGUAGCCUAUGAGCUGCAUCUUUGGUAAUCUGAGGGUG
Molecule: small nucleolar RNA, 291 nt
Organism: Clarias gariepinus (North African catfish)
Lineage: Eukaryota; Metazoa; Chordata; Actinopteri; Siluriformes; Clariidae
Source: RefSeq, a predicted model, not a curated record